CUCUCUGUUUCUCUCUCCCUCACAUAUGCUCGCCUCUCCGUCUGUCCCUCUCCCAGCGCCGGCCCUACAGAUCUCUCCCACCUCUCUCUCUUCCCGUCGAUCUCUCCACGAACAUUGAGCUGUUGUUAGUUGGAGGGAGUAGGAAAGAAGAAUCAGAAUUUCUUCAUUUUUUUGGAUGCUUCUAUUGAUUAGUUGGAGGUCUUCAACAGGGUUGUUUCUUCUGUUUGCAUUUUGCUAACCAAAGAUGAGCUUGUAAUCACCAUGCAUGGAUGCACUGCUGCUAUAUGUGAUAAAGUGAAGCAGUCAGCAGAAGGUGCAAUUCAGGCUGUCAUUGAGUUCAUUACAACAAGAGGCAAUGAGUUGAAUGAAAUUGAUGUUUCAAGGAUGACCCAAUCUUUGCUUUCUGCUGCAAUGUUUGUAACCGAGAAACAUCUACAUCAGGAAGUUCUUGGACUUGAGGGGAGUGCUAAUGGACAAUGGUGGUUGGAUGCUAUCAAGAAGGCCCUCGAAUAAGGAACGACAUUUGAACGUGUAGGAUCUAGGCAGUUGGCUGGUUUGCAUAUAUCCGCAGGCCUCAGAGCUGGUUCCUAUGGGUUUUACUAGUGCUAGCCAACUCCAUGCAUAGAGGCUUGAAACCAUUCAGAUAACUUCAGGGUCAAGAGAACUUGACAAGAUCUUAAAGGGUUUGCCAACCUUGCAAAUUGAAAAGCUUGUGCAAAUUUGUGAACCAGAGAGUAAAUAAAAGGUGGAACUUAGAUUUAAAAGAUGCAUCGAGGGUCCUUACUGUAUAUGGCUUGGACUCAUUGCCCCAGCAGCUGAUAGUAUCUGAUGCAUAAAGGUUUCCAUCAGCAAAUUGCUGAAGGUGGCAGUUCAACUCGGCAAAUAACCGUGCAGUCUUGACAGUUUUCGGGUUGCUGGAAAUGGAAGCCCUUCGACUCUUAUUUGCUUUGCAUCAAAGACUACCAAUGCAGGACAGAUUACAUCGAAGUUGCAUGUGAUCGAACUUGGUG
Molecule: long non-coding RNA, 1010 nt
Organism: Magnolia sinica
Lineage: Eukaryota; Viridiplantae; Streptophyta; Magnoliopsida; Magnoliales; Magnoliaceae
Exons: 9
Source: RefSeq, a predicted model, not a curated record